This 377-nucleotide ribosomal RNA is filed under the name uncultured bacterium. RNAcentral's name for it is "partial 16S ribosomal RNA". It matches the Rfam family "Bacterial small subunit ribosomal RNA", at positions 338 to 732 of the family's 1533-position model. The record is from RNAcentral.
CCUACGGGUGGCAGCAGUGGGGAAUAUUGGACAAUGGGGGGAACCCUGAUCCAGCGACGCCGCGUGAGUGAAGAAGUAUUUCGGUAUGUUAAGCUCUAUCAGCCGGGAAGAAAAUGACGGUACCUGACUCAGAAGCCCCGGCUAACUACGUGCCAGCAGCCGCGGUAAUACGUAGGGGGCCAGCGUUAUCCGGAUUUACUGGGUGUAAAGGGGGCGUAGACGGUGCAGCAAGUCUGAUGUGAAAGGUCGGGGCCCAACCCCCGGACUGCAGUGGAAACUGUUGAACUGGAGUACAGGAGAGGUAAGCGGAAUGCGUAGUGUAGCGGUGAAAUGCGUAGAUAUCAGGAAGAACACCAGUGGCGAAGGCAGCUUACUGG